This is a non-coding RNA of Dipodomys ordii (Ord's kangaroo rat), 65 nucleotides long. NCBI's taxonomy places the organism in Eukaryota, Metazoa, Chordata, Mammalia, Rodentia, Heteromyidae. The record is from Rfam.
GGUGGCUCAGUGGUAGAGUACUUGCCUUGCAUGCACGAGGCCCUGGGUUCAAUUCCUCAGCACCA